GAGACACGGUCCAGACACCUACGGGUGGCAGCAGUCGAGAAUCAUUCACAAUGGGGGAAACCCUGAUGGUGCGACGCCGCGUGGGGGAAUGAAGGUCUUCGGAUUGUAAACCCCUGUCAUGUGGGAGCAAAUUAAAAAGAUAGUACCACAAGAGGAAGAGACGGCUAACUCUGUGCCAGCAGCCGCGGUAAUACAGAGGUCUCAAGCGUUGUUCGGAAUCACUGGGCGUAAAGCGUGCGUAGGCUGUUUCGUAAGUCGUGUGUGAAAGGCGCGGGCUCAACCCGCGGACGGCACAUGAUACUGCGAGACUAGAGUAAUGGAGGGGGAACCGGAAUUCUCGGUGUAGCAGUGAAAUGCGUAGAUAUCGAGAGGAACACUCGUGGCGAAGGCGGGUUCCUGGACAUUAACUGACGCUGAGGCACGAAGGCCAGGGGAGCGAAAGGGAUUAGAUACCCCUGUAGUCCUGGCAGUAAACGGUGCACGCUUGGUGUGCGGGGAAUCGACCCCCUGCGUGCCGGAGCUAACGCGUUAAGCGUGCCGCCUGGGGAGUACGGUCGCAAGAUUAAAACUCAAAGAAAUUGACGGGGACCCGCACAAGCGGUGGAGUAUGUGGCUUAAUUCGAUGCAACGCGAAGAACCUUACCUGGGCUUGACAUGUAAUGAACAACAUGUGAAAGCAUGCGACUCUUCGGAGGCGUUACACAGGUGCUGCAUGGCCGUCGUCAGCUCGUGUCGUGAGAUGUUUGGUUAAGUCCAGCAACGAGCGCAACCCCUGUUGCCAGUUACCAGCACGUGAAGGUGGGGACUCUGGCGAGACUGCCCAGAUCAACUGGGAGGAAGGUGGGGACGACGUCAGGUCAGUAUGGCCCUUAUGCCCAGGGCUGCACACGUACUACAAUGCCCAGUACAGAGGGGGCCGAAGCCGCGAGGCGGAGGAAAUCCUAAAAACUGGGCCCAGUUCGGACUGUAGGCUGCAACCCGCCUACACGAAGCCGGAAUCGCUAGUAAUGGCGCAUCAGCUACGGCGCCGUGAAUACGUUCCCGGGUCUUGUACACACCGCCCGUCACAUCAUGGAAGCCGGUCGCACCCGAAGUAUCUGAAGCCAACCGCAAGGAGGCAGGGUCCUAAGGUGAGACUGGUAACUGGGAUGAAGUCGUAACAAGGUAGCCGUAGGGGAACCUGCGGCUG
This 1189-nucleotide ribosomal RNA is filed under the name human gut metagenome. RNAcentral describes it as "bacterial SSU rRNA". It matches the Rfam family "Bacterial small subunit ribosomal RNA", at positions 321 to 1520 of the family's 1533-position model. The record is from RNAcentral.